This 116-nucleotide ribosomal RNA is filed under the name Pteropus alecto (black flying fox). The record is from RNAcentral. Lineage: Eukaryota; Metazoa; Chordata; Mammalia; Chiroptera; Pteropodidae. RNAcentral also lists the same sequence under 1 other name.
GUCUACGGUCAUGCCACCCUAAACAAGCCCUAUGUCUGAUCUUGGAAGCUAAGCAGGUUUGGGCCUGGUUAGUACUUAAAUGAGAGACCAACUAGGAAGACCAGGUGCUGUAGGCA